AACGCAAAUGGCACUGUCGGGAUAGGCCUGACAGUACGCUUCUUUCAGAGUCGUUUCAACCACACCUCGGCGGCAUCUCUUCAUUGAGACUGCGCAGCUGGAGAUUGAGUCGGUCACCGAGUUAACUCUUUGGUGUCCCUUCAAAUGUGGCAAGGCUUCAGUGUAGUGCUCUUCGCGGACAGUAUUCCGAUUGUACUCGCUAGCGACGUGGAUACUCGAUCUCUUUUGGUCUUGAAUCCAAUACGUGGUUAGUGUUUAGGAAAGGAGUAUUGCGCCGUGUGCACCGUCUGUGACUCCUCUCUUUUGAGGACAAACAGGCUGAUUCGCUUGUUUUUGAUUUGCGUUUGUGCGCCUCGUGUGUACAGACUGCCGAUCAAAUCCACACACUUGUGUGUGCUGUUUUCGACUAAGACCUGAAAUGAAGUGAGACUACCCGCUGAACUUAA
Molecule: unclassified non-coding RNA, 446 nt
Filed under: uncultured fungus
Lineage: Eukaryota; Fungi
Description: sequence contains ITS2
Source: RNAcentral